AGAAUGAGAGAAAGAGCGAGAGCAGAGAAAAUACUCUAAUUGAUGUCUGUGCUAAUCACUGGGUCUGUUUGUUUAUCUGUCUUUCAUCUCUUUUCCUCGUUUUUUUUUGGCUAACACAAACCUUCACAAACUGAAUCGGUGCCAUGUA
RNAcentral lists this non-coding RNA (148 nucleotides) under uncultured Nitzschia. The record is from RNAcentral. Lineage: Eukaryota; Bacillariophyta; Bacillariophyceae; Bacillariales; Bacillariaceae.